CCGCAAGAUCCAUCUUUCCAAACCCGAAGUUAUUACUCCAAUUUGCUUUUGAGCACUCAAGCUGCAUCACCUAGCACAGAUCCAGCGUACGCAAUCUCAGGCACCACUCUUACAGCUUCCAGAAGCUCCAGCUCGUCCGCCUUCCUCUUCUCUGCUGUCGCUGUCCCCUAGCCCUGCUAAAUGCCCCCAUCCAUUGAUAAACCUUUAGCACAUGCUCCCAUUGCAAGGAGUGCUUUCCGCAUCUCCUUACAUUGUUCUAGUUCAUGAACAAGAAACUCAAAUCCCGGUCAAAAACUGAGAAUAUCGAAAACAAAAUAGUAGACGAAGACUUUGUUGCUCGGGGACCAACGCACAAUCAAAAUUAUGGGAC
This 370-nucleotide long non-coding RNA is filed under the name Selaginella moellendorffii. Its description in RNAcentral is "long non-coding RNA (SMOE_LNC000474)". Lineage: Eukaryota; Viridiplantae; Streptophyta; Lycopodiopsida; Selaginellales; Selaginellaceae. The record is from RNAcentral.